RNAcentral lists this long non-coding RNA (380 nucleotides) under Salvator merianae (Argentine black and white tegu). Its description in RNAcentral is "lncRNA (ENSSMRG00000023192.1)". Lineage: Eukaryota; Metazoa; Chordata; Lepidosauria; Squamata; Teiidae. The record is from RNAcentral.
AAACAACCCCCCUGUAUAUGCAAGGGCUGCUGACAAAGGCAGAGAAACCAGUCAUUGGUCAAAGGUCCCGAGGAGAACAAGAGGUGCCUCGAAAUGGAUGUUCAACGUCUGGAAAUCCCUGCUGAACUUGCAGCCCUCCUCCGCUUGGCAGCUGAAGGUCAGCACUAUGCCCAGAAUAACCAAGUCACAGAGGUUUCUCCUCCAGAAGUCAAAGCAAAGGUUGAUCUUUAUCUGCCAACCGAUAUCAAUAACUUCCCAUUCUCUUCUUUCAUGCGGUCCCACUUUCAGGUAUGAAAAUGUUGCUAGAAGUGGAANGCUCCCAAGAAAAACCUAUGGCCUUCUCUCCUUCCCCUUGUCCUUCCAUAUAAUUAUAUAAUGGU